RNAcentral lists this ribosomal RNA (497 nucleotides) under uncultured bacterium. RNAcentral's name for it is "partial 16S ribosomal RNA". It matches the Rfam family "Bacterial small subunit ribosomal RNA", at positions 28 to 507 of the family's 1533-position model. The record is from RNAcentral.
GACGAACGCUGGCGGCGUGCCUAAUACAUGCAAGUUGAGCGCUGAAGGUUGGUACUUGUACCAACUGGAUGAGCAGCGAACGGGUGAGUAACGCGUGGGGAAUCUGCCUUUGAGCGGGGGACAACAUUUGGAAACGAAUGCUAAUACCGCAUAAAAACUUUAAACACAAGUUUUAAGUUUGAAAGAUGCAAUUGCAUCACUCAAAGAUGAUCCCGCGUUGUAUUAGCUAGUUGGUGAGGUAAAGGCUCACCAAGGCGAUGAUACAUAGCCGACCUGAGAGGGUGAUCGGCCACAUUGGGACUGAGACACGGCCCAAACUCCUACGGGAGGCAGCAGUAGGGAAUCUUCGGCAAUGGACGAAAGUCUGACCGAGCAACGCCGCGGGAGUGAAGAAGGGUUUCGGAUCGUAAAACUCGGUUGGUAGAGAAGAACGUUGGUGAGAGUGGAAAGCUCAUCAAGUGACGGUAACUACACAGAAAGGGACGGCUAACUACGUG